GUGAGUAACGCGUGAGAACCUGCCUCAAAGAGGGGGACAACAGUUGGAAACGACUGCUAAUACCGCAUAAGCCCACAGCUCGGCAUCGAGCAGAGGGAAAAGGAGCAAUCCGCUUUGAGAUGGCCUCGCGUCCGAUUAGCUAGUUGGUGAGGUAACGGCCCACCAAGGCGACGAUCGGUAGCCGGACUGAGAGGUUGAACGGCCACAUUGGGACUGAGACACGGCCCAGACUCCUACGGGAGGCAGCAGUGGGGAAUAUUGCACAAUGGGGGAAACCCUGAUGCAGCGACGCCGCGUGGAGGAAGAAGGUCUUCGGAUUGUAAACUCCUGUUGUUGGGGAAGAUAAUGACGGUACCCAACAAGGAAGUGACGGCUAACUACGUGCCAGCAGCCGCGGUAAAACGUAGGUCACAAGCGUUGUCCGGAAUUACUGGGUGUAAAGGGAGCGCAGGCGGGAAGACAAGUUGGAAGUGAAAUCUAUGGGCUCAACCCAUAAACUGCUUUCAAAACUGUUUUUCUUGAGUAGUGCAGAGGUAGGCGGAAUUCCCGGUGUAGCGGUGGAAUGCGUAGAUAUCGGGAGGAACACCAGUGGCGAAGGC
This 599-nucleotide ribosomal RNA is filed under the name uncultured Lachnospiraceae bacterium. RNAcentral describes it as "bacterial SSU rRNA". It matches the Rfam family "Bacterial small subunit ribosomal RNA", at positions 106 to 722 of the family's 1533-position model. The record is from RNAcentral. Lineage: Bacteria; Bacillati; Bacillota; Clostridia; Lachnospirales; Lachnospiraceae.